UUACAUAAAAACGGCGAUUAAUUUGAUCAUAAAAAGAAGUGAAUUUGAAUUUCCCGCUUCAAUUCUAAAAAGGAAAGGCGACGUAUCCAAAUGAAGCUCAAAACAUCCGAGACGCCUAUUUGACCGAACAAGAACUACCGGUUUCCCCUCACUAUCUCGUUGUAUUAUUUACAAUAGCGAGUGGGCAUCUGACGCGAGUUAAUUGUAAAUCUGAAUGGGUCUGAAUAGAACUGACCAAGAGGCUGUCGUGACGUAUCCGUAUGUUAUUGUAUUUUGUGCAACUUGAGCGUUUAAUAUCGAGAUAAAAAGCAACAAAUAAAGAUGAGUUCAAGUACGUGUUACAAGUGUAAUAGGCAAGGUCAUUUUGCUCGAGAAUGCAACAGCGAUGGUGGUGGCCGUGAUAGUUUCAGCGGUCGUGGUCGCGAAAAAUGCUACAAAUGUAACCGUUUGGGCCAUUUUGCACGUGAUUGCAAGGAGGAAGCGGAACGUUGCUAUCGUUGUAAUGGCGAAGGUCAUUUUGCAAAGGACUGUAAGCAAAGUCCGGAGGUGCCGUCCUGUUACACGUGCAAUAAGCCUGGGCAUAUCGCUAGGAGUUGCCCAGAAUCUGGUGGCGGAAAUGAUCGCGUUUCCAGCCAAGCGUGUCGUACUUGCAAGAAGUUGGGGCACAUAUCGCGUAAUUGUCCGGAAAAUACCAAGUGCUUCAGGUGCCAGAAAACUGGCCAUUUCAUGCGCGAUUGCGACCAAGAGUAGGGCCCUACCCUCCAUACAAAAAAAUUACUAUAUCUAAAUCCGCCAACAACAACAACAACACGUCUUUGUUCAUUGGAUUGCAUUUUUUAACGAUGAUGAUGAGAGAGAGAGAUGAGAGGUUUGACGGUUUCCGAGGUGUUGACAAAGUUUUACACUUGUUGUAUUUUUCAUAUGUUUAAAAAUUGUUUUGGUCCAUAUCUGUAAUACGGUUUGUAAGCCUAUUUAUUCUCAAACACUUCCUGUAUUUUGUAUUUCUCUCUUUUUUUUUUUAAAUACUAUCGUAGGAUUCGUUUUCAUUUAUAUAGGUAAACCCAAAAUAAAAUAAAAAUCCCUCUUCCUUUUACAACAUCACCACAUACAAUCCCCCUAUCCUUUUUAUUUUGUUCAGGGAAUAACUAUUUUCCUAAUAAAAUAUAUAGAAAUUUUUCA
This is a non-coding RNA of Onthophagus taurus, 1179 nucleotides long. The record is from RefSeq and is a predicted model, not a curated record. Lineage: Eukaryota; Metazoa; Arthropoda; Insecta; Coleoptera; Scarabaeidae.